Non-coding RNA from Paramuricea clavata, 1283 nucleotides. The record is from the annotation of a GenBank genome assembly. NCBI's taxonomy places the organism in Eukaryota, Metazoa, Cnidaria, Anthozoa, Malacalcyonacea, Plexauridae.
CUGAAUCAAACGGUGGUAUUUUCAUUUAAGCCUGGUUCACAUAUAUGCCUGCGACGUGCCUGCGACGUACCGGCGACGUACCGGCGACGAUGCCGAUGGUAGCUUUAAAACAUUGCCUCCAGUGCCACAGUUACAUCGGCGGUAGGCCGGGAAAGUUGACUUGAGUUCAACUUUGCCGGUAUUUCGGCGGCAAGUAGAGGCAUAAUGAUACAGUCGCAGGCAUGCCGCAGGUAUAUGUGAACCAGGCUUUACAUAGCAUUCACUGAACCGAAGACAUGAAACCCGCAAAAUACUAUUCCACAAUCGGCAUAGUUCAAAUUAGCGCUUGUUGAGAAAAUAAUAGCUAAACUUAGCAGCCUUUACCUUUCAUUUCCUACAAAUAAGCUCGUGGACUCGUCAAAAUUGACUGAAUCUACAAGUUCAAAUGGUGUAGAUCGUUAAUAUUGCCAAAUUGCGCAAAAAAAUUGUAAAAACUAAAUUAUGAGAUGUUCCAGAUAUUCCAGACGUUCCAGUUGUUCCAGAUGUUCCAUUCCAUGUUUUAGACGUUGCCGUACGAUAUCGAAAGUUAAUUUAAUUUUGAAUAUAUGUUCAACAACAGGUUCAACAUUGCCCCUUGAGCAAUGGCCGGCGAAGAAUCCAACCCGCGUAAUGGUUCUCCAUUCCCUGAGGCUCGCCAGGGUAAGUCCGUAAGUGAACUGAUGACGAACGUCUUCUUCAUGAGUGAAGAACGGUGGAAUGAGUCUCGCGAACACGGUAACUUUGAUUAUGUUGUCAUUGGGUCAUCGUUUUGUGCUUGGGCUUUUACUCAACGCAUGUUGGAGAAGAAUCCAAAAGCGAAGAUCCUUAUUCUCGAACGCGGCGAAUAUUAUUAUCUAGAGCACUUUGAAAACCUUCCACCUUCCUAUAAAAGGAAGUUGACAUAUGAUUCAAAGAGGCAUCACUGGAAUAGAACAAAAAAAAUGCAAGAAGGGAAAUUAAUUAAUAAGCAGGAUGGGAUUAACGACGUCUUUGGCGGCCAGUCAGCGUUUUGGCGUGGUUGGUGUCCCCAACCGAGUAGAGAAGAUCUGGAUGGUUGGCCAGAGAGUGUCAAGGACAUUAUCGAAGAAUAUUUCCCCCUAGCAACAGAGCUCCUGAACGUCGUGUCUACAGAUCUGAUCUGUAUAAAUGAGCAAAAAUGCUGCAAAAGUGACGACCACCAUUACGUAUUUGGCGAAUUUCAAACCGUUCUUAUGGAAAAGAUUAAAUCGUGUCUACCGGAAGCAGUUAAAAGGGUUGAUCAUGCC